This 775-nucleotide ribosomal RNA is filed under the name uncultured Arthrobacter sp. RNAcentral's name for it is "bacterial SSU rRNA". It matches the Rfam family "Bacterial small subunit ribosomal RNA", at positions 8 to 796 of the family's 1533-position model. The record is from RNAcentral. Lineage: Bacteria; Bacillati; Actinomycetota; Actinomycetes; Micrococcales; Micrococcaceae.
AGAGUUUGAUCCUGGCUCAGGAUGAGCGCUGGCGGCGUGCUUAACACAUGCAAGUCGAACGAUGAUCCCAGCUUGCUGGGGGAUUAGUGGCGAACGGGUGAGUAACACGUGAGUAACCUGCCCUUAACUCUGGGAUAAGCCUGGGAAACUGGGUCUAAUACCGGAUAUGACUCCUCAUCGCAUGGUGGGGGGUGGAAAGCUUUAUUGUGGUUUUGGAUGGACUCGCGGCCUAUCAGCUUGUUGGUGAGGUAAUGGCUCACCAAGGCGACGACGGGUAGCCGGCCUGAGAGGGUGACCGGCCACACUGGGACUGAGACACGGCCCAGACUCCUACGGGAGGCAGCAGUGGGGAAUAUUGCACAAUGGGCGAAAGCCUGAUGCAGCGACGCCGCGUGAGGGAUGACGGCCUUCGGGUUGUAAACCUCUUUCAGUAGGGAAGAAGCGAAAGUGACGGUACCUGCAGAAGAAGCGCCGGCUAACUACGUGCCAGCAGCCGCGGUAAUACGUAGGGCGCAAGCGUUAUCCGGAAUUAUUGGGCGUAAAGAGCUCGUAGGCGGUUUGUCGCGUCUGCCGUGAAAGUCCGGGGCUCAACUCCGGAUCUGCGGUGGGUACGGGCAGACUAGAGUGAUGUAGGGGAGACUGGAAUUCCUGGUGUAGCGGUGAAAUGCGCAGAUAUCAGGAGGAACACCGAUGGCGAAGGCAGGUCUCUGGGCAUUAACUGACGCUGAGGAGCGAAAGCAUGGGGAGCGAACAGGAUUAGAUACCCCCGUAGUCC